GGGAUGUUAGCUCAGUCGGUUUAGAGCGCAUGCUUCACACGCAUGAGGUCACUGGUUCGAAUCCAGUACGUCCCA
This 75-nucleotide transfer RNA is filed under the name Flavobacteriales bacterium. RNAcentral describes it as "tRNA-Val". It matches the Rfam family "tRNA". Rfam says of the family: Transfer RNA (tRNA) molecules are approximately 80 nucleotides in length. Their secondary structure includes four short double-helical elements and three loops (D, anti-codon, and T loops). The record is from RNAcentral. Lineage: Bacteria; Pseudomonadati; Bacteroidota; Flavobacteriia; Flavobacteriales.